UCAGGAUAGUGUAGGCUGCGCUUCAACAACAAAACCCUAGAAAGCUCCAUAGCUUACAAACCGGAGGUUUAUUUCUUCCUUUGCUGUAUGUCCAUUGUGGGUUGGCUGUGGCUCUGUCUCAUGUCGUCUUUACUCUGGGCCCCAGGCUGGUGCCACAGGCCCUAGCUGGGGAUGAGGGGCGGGGAGGAAGGGGUGGGGGAGCAUCAUGAACCAUCCCUUGGCCCUUAAAAUUUCUGCUUGGAAGUGACACAAGGCUCUUCUACUCCAAUUCCAUUGGCCAAAGUCAAUCAUAUGGCUAAGUCUGCUGGCAGUGGGAGAGGGAAGGGACAAUCCUUCGCCAGGGAGCAGCAUGGACUAUUUGUGAAAAAUAGGACACACGUGGUCACCAAGAGAGGCAUCCCUCAAUUUCAUUGUAAAAUCACCUGCCUUAACUUACACAUAUUAACAGAGUCUUUAUUUGCUGUCUUAAGAAACAGAGGUAAAGUCAGGUCAGGUGAGGGGUUGAGCAAUAACAGAUUCAAAGUGCAGCAGGUGAUUGAGGUUAGAGGAAUGGAAUGGGCAGCAAGAUCAGGGAAGAAGGAGGAGCCUGAGUGUGGGGGCCCUUGGGCACUAGGGGGUCUGGAAUUCUUCUUUAGGCAGUGAGGUUUCUCGGAAGAUUUUAGAGUGUUGGGAGGCAUGCUCUUCCUGGGGAGAUCCUCAAAGGCAUUAUAAAGGAGGAAUUGAAGGCUGGGUACCCCUUGGAAACCUUGACCAGGAAAGUAACGAUGAAGAUCUGAUUUUAGAGCUCCUUUGGGAAAAAGGAGAUAGAGGUGGUUAAAGUCCAAAAUUUGACGUCAGUUUCAGACAGAUUUAAGUGCAAGAUCUGCCUUUGAAAUAGCAUAGCUAGGUGAUUCGCGGAAAGUUCCUCUGCCUCUCUAAACCUAUUUCCUUCCAUGGUUUGUCAUGGGGACCAAAUAGGGGAACAUAUGUAAAGUCUCAGCAAAAAGCGUUAUACCUAGAAAGACUGUCCACGCGGAAAAGCAGAGACACCGGAGAUCCAGAAUCAUAGGCUUUGGUGACUGCCUGUGAAGAGCGCGGAUGAGGGAGGAUUUGAAGAGAGUGCCGCAGGGGCUAGGGUGGGCAUGGUAACGCCAUUCAUCUAUACAGGAGCUGGUCAUGUUUGGAGGAGGACAGACACUGAGUCUGAGAUCCCAGGGAGACGUCCAUGGAGAAGGUUCCCAGCUGGGGCUUACAAAUGCGAGGUAGGCUCAGGAGCGGGGACUCCUGUGGUGAGUCAUUUGCUGGUUGUGUGGACAGAUGGUUCCUGAGGCUCUGCUGCAGAACAUACUUAAUUUUGUACAUUUGAGCACACCUGCAUACCCCCAAGAGCUGGGGAAGAGACUAUUCUCCAGGCUGAGGCUCCCUUAGGCCAGUGGCUCUCAAACUAGAGUGCACCAGCAUUACCUGGAGGGCUUUCUCAGUCUAUGGUUUCUGAUUAGGUGGGUCAGGGGUGUGCCCUGAGAGGCGGCAUUUCUAACGAGUUCCCAGGGGCUGCUGCUGCUGCUGUUGUCAGGAGACCACACUUCCAGAAGCACUCUCUUUGGCGGUUAGAGAACUUGGAAUGGAAGCACCUCCUCUCUGCACUGGGGCACGACAGCCCCCACGCGAAAGAGGACUUCCUAACCUGUUUUCCUUGCUCACAUGCUUCCCGCAUCGGAAAAACGAACAUGAUUCUAUGGCUCGGGGACAGACAGAAAGGCCAAUGGAAUGGAAUCAAGUGCCUAGAUGUUGACCCAAUAUACCUGGAAACUUGAGAUCGUAUAGAAGUAGCAUUGAUUGGGCUAAUGGAAGGUUUUCUGGUCUUUGAGCUAGCGUCUGGAAACCAUGCCCUAGCUCACAAUGAUGAUGCAGAAUGACAGUGUUUGUGUAUACCUGUUGCCCCAGCCUAAUUAUUAAUAGUGCUCUCAGAAGUGUUCCAGAUUGGAGGAUAAAUUAUGCCAAGUUCUACCUAUGUGCAUAUGGCACCUUCAUUCUCAAGAGUUCAGAAGAGCGCUUAAUGAACUGCGUCCUCCUCUCAGACCUCAUCCAUCUUGCUAGAUGACAGGGAAGCAUCCCUGACAGAACCAGCCACUGGACCCGGGCCUGCAGUUGGCCAGUCUCGAAGCUGGGGCUGGAACCGGGGUCUCCUCACUUCCUCCAAGUGUCUGUUCUUGUGCAGCCUCUGCCUUGUCUGAGUCUUAGAGUAGGCCUGGAAAAUGCUGACCCCGCAAACAGGAGCGAUUGCAUUAACACCAUUGAUCCUCGUGUCUAGAACAAGAUUUAGG
RNAcentral lists this long non-coding RNA (2303 nucleotides) under Equus caballus (horse). RNAcentral's name for it is "lncRNA (ENSECAG00000058541.1)". Lineage: Eukaryota; Metazoa; Chordata; Mammalia; Perissodactyla; Equidae. The record is from RNAcentral.